UUAUCAUCCCCGUCCUCAGGUGCCCGCUGCCGCAAGGCAAAGGGAGAAUCGGGAAGGCGGUUGGAGUCCGCCGCGUGCCCAACGCUGUAAGGAAGAUGACCCCCGCUCAAUGCCACUGGCCGCCAAGGCCGGGAAGGCGCGGCGGGUCAGAUGAAUCCAAGCCAGAAGACCGGCCUGAACGUUCAUCGCGCU
This 192-nucleotide non-coding RNA is filed under the name Acidovorax sp. JS42. RNAcentral also lists the same sequence under 1 other name. Lineage: Bacteria; Pseudomonadati; Pseudomonadota; Betaproteobacteria; Burkholderiales; Comamonadaceae. The record is from RNAcentral.